RNAcentral lists this ribosomal RNA (911 nucleotides) under uncultured bacterium. RNAcentral describes it as "bacterial SSU rRNA". It matches the Rfam family "Bacterial small subunit ribosomal RNA", at positions 8 to 917 of the family's 1533-position model. The record is from RNAcentral.
AGAGUUUGAUCCUGGCUCAGAUUGAACGCUGGCGGAAUGCUUUACACAUGCAAGUCGAACGGUAGAGGGGGCAACCCCUCGAGAGUGGCGAACGGGUGAGUAAUAUAUCGGAAUGUGCCCAGUCGUGGGGGAUAACGUAGCGAAAGUUACGCUAAUACCGCAUACGAUCUACGGAUGAAAGCGGGGGACCGUAAGGCCUCGCGCGAUUGGAGCGGCCGAUAUCAGAUUAGGUAGUUGGUGGGGUAAAGGCUCACCAAGCCAACGAUCUGUAGCUGGUCUGAGAGGACGACCAGCCACACUGGAACUGAGACACGGUCCAGACUCCUACGGGAGGCAGCAGUGGGGAAUUUUGGACAAUGGACGCAAGUCUGAUCCAGCCAUUCCGCGUGCAGGAUGAAGGCCCUCGGGUUGUAAACUGCUUUUGUACGGAACGAAAAGGUUUCCAUUAAUACUGGGAGCUCAUGACGGUACCGUAAGAAUAAGCACCGGCUAACUACGUGCCAGCAGCCGCGGUAAUACGUAGGGUGCAAGCGUUAAUCGGAAUUACUGGGCGUAAAGCGUGCGCAGGCGGUUAUGUAAGACAGAGGUGAAAUCCCCGGGCUCAACCUGNGAACUGCCUUUGUGACUGCAUAGCUAGAGUACGGUAGAGGGGGAUGGAAUUCCGCGUGUAGCAGUGAAAUGCGUAGAUAUGCGGAGGAACACCGAUGGCGAAGGCAAUCCCCUGGACCUGUACUGACGCUCAUGCACGAAAGCGUGGGGAGCAAACAGGAUUAGAUACCCUGGUAGUCCACGCCCUAAACGAUGUCAACUAGGUGUUGGGGGAGGAGACUUCCUUAGUACCGUAGCUAACGCGUGAAGUUGACCGCCUGGGGAGUACGGUCGCAAGAUUAAAACUCAAAGGAAUUGACGGG